This 497-nucleotide ribosomal RNA is filed under the name uncultured bacterium. RNAcentral's name for it is "partial 16S ribosomal RNA". It matches the Rfam family "Bacterial small subunit ribosomal RNA", at positions 28 to 507 of the family's 1533-position model. The record is from RNAcentral.
GAUGAACGCUGGCGGCGUGCCUAAUACAUGCAAGUCGAGCGAACGGACGAGAAGCUUGCUUCUCUGAUGUUAGCGGCGGACGGGUGAGUAACACGUGUAUAACCUACCUAUAAGACUGGGAUAACUUCGGGAAACCGGAUCUAAUACCGGAUGAGAUUUUGAACCGCAGGGUUCAAAAGUGAAAGAGGGUCUUGCUGUCACUUAUAGAUGGAUCCGCGCUGCAUUAGCUAGUUGGUAAGGUAACGGCUUACCAAGGCAACGAUGCAUAGCCGACCUGAGAGGGUGAUCGGCCACACUGGAACUGAGACACGGUCCAGACUCCUACGGGAGGCAGCAGUAGGGAAUAUUCCGCAAUGGGCGAAAGCCUGACGGAGCAACGCCGCGUGAGUGAUGAAGGUCUUCGGAUCGUAAAACUCUGUUAUUAGGGAAGAACAUAUGUGUAAGUAACUGUGCACAUCUUGACGGUACCUAAUCAGAAAGCAACGGCUAACUACGUG